CUGGUGAUUGAGUUCAUUCACCAAUGGCCAAUAAUUUAGUCAGUUAUAUGAAUGUAAUGAAGCCUUCAUAAAAAUCGAAAAGGACAGGGUUUGGAGAGCUUCGGGAUUGGUAAAGAGCUCCCAGAUUGGAGAUUUGGGGAGAGUUACGCGCCUGGAGAGGGCACAGAAGCUCCAUGCCCUUUCCCCAUACCUUGCUCUAUGCAUCUCUUCGACCUGGCUGUUACUGAGUUGUAUCCUUUUAUAAUAAGCCGGUAAUCUAGAUGAUGCCAGAGAAAUGCUCUAAUGGGAUGGCAGUGCCCGGAAGAGUUCCAUAAUAAUCUGAAAAUGGUUUGUACAGGAUCUUGUUAUUGGGAGAAUGCAAGGAGGAGAUACUCACAAGCAGGGAGCCUCUUUUUCCCUAGGACUGACUCUGGAACCGUGUGAGGAGCUGUUUGUUGGAUUUUAUUGUCACUUGGACAGUGCCCUAUAACAAACCCUCAACUGACUGACAAAGAGCUGCUUGGUUUGUGGACAGCAGUUCCAAGGCAAAUGGACAACAUCCUAUUGGAAGGUACACUCUGACUGCUCUGUUGAGGCUAGUCCUUUUGGAGAAAAGGAAGAAAGAAGGAAAUCUAUUAGGAGACUUGCAGUAAUCCAGGAGCAUCAGCCCUGUGCUAACAUCUGACAAUCCUCCUCUUUCUUUGCUGAGGAAGACUGGCCCUGGGCUAACAUCCGUGCCCAACUUCCUGCACAUUAUAUGGGAGGCCGCCACAGCAUGGCUUGCCAAGCGGUGUGUCAGUGCAUGCCCGGGAUCUGAACCAGCGACCCCGGGUUGCCACAGUGGAGUGCGUGCACUUGACUGCUUGCGCCACCAGGCUGGCACAAGACUUUUGAUUUCAUUAAAAAAUAAAGUUUAAAUGUGUCUAUUUUCAUAAAAUCAUGAAAUAUUGAGAUUGGAUUAUGUCUGGGACAGUAUCUUGUCCAUUAUCAUCAUUUUAUAGGUGAGCUAUCAGAAGCAAAAAAAAAUUGCCAAGACUGUUCUAUUGGUAGCAGAUCUGAGACCAGAUGUAAGGAUUUUUUUUCCUCUCUGCUGAAUUAGUUCAGAACAUUUUACGCAUGUAUACAAUAAGACUGAAACCAUAGAAAAUAAAAUGCAUACGUAUGCAAGAUCAUUUACACAAAACCAAAAAGUCAGUUGCUUUACGUCUUUGGGAUAAUAGAUAAUUUUUCUGGGAAAAAUAUCCUUGUCAUUUAUUAUAUUAUAUUAUCCAAAAGAGUGUAGAGUAUAUGUUGGAAAUUUUAAUGUCUUUAUCUAGCAAACAUUAUUUCUUGUUAUUUUAGUAUAUAUAAAAAGAUAUAUAUUUAAUAAUAUACCUAUAUAUGUGAUUUCAUGAAAUAUAUUUGACAUUUAAAAAUGAGCUCUAGGAGAGAAGUCAAGAUGGCGGCAUAGGCAGACUCUGAACUCACCCCUUCCCAGGGACACAGCCAAUUUACAACUGCUCGUGGAAAAAUUACCCCUGAGACAGAACUGAAAACUAGAUAAGAGGAACUCCUGCAAUGAACGACAAUCCUAACUGAGGUGGAAGAGGCAGAAACUCCCUUCUGGAGAGGAAAAACUCCACCUCCACAAGCUGCCAGCUUCAUGGCUGCCUAGGAGCAGCCCAAAGGUACACAGCCUUCCCGGGAGGAGUGGGGCCCUGAUCCGGGGAGUGCCCCACAACAGGCAUUGAGUGGGCCCAGCACAAUUGAGACAAGUGGCAUAAUAUCUUACUUUCUCUGCUACUAAAACAUUGGGGAGUACCCCCAGAAAAGCUGGUUAACAAAGAAAUUAAAACCGGCUCUUAAAGGGCCCAUGUGCAAACUCACCCCUUUUGGAAAGCAACCUAAAAUCACCAGAACGGAAGGUACACAGUGCUUUGGUGAAAAGAGAUCACCUGAUAGGCUCUGAGUGAAUCACAGUGAGAGGUGAGACCUCUCAAGGGACUGGGACAUUGGCGGCAGACAUUGUUGCGGCCUGGUGUGGGCGUGCUGACACAGAUGCCAUUGGAGUUCUCCCUGGGUCCUGCUAGCCGAGGUGUGCCCCACACACUAGAGCACGGAUUUAAUCCAGCAGAGCCAGGGCAGGCAGCCCACCCUAGAGGCUGGCCCCACCCAACAACAAGCCCUCAGGCAACUUGUGGGCCUGCAUAGAUUGGUGACUGGAUUCUCUGCAGCCUGGUUACUGAGCCCACUUCAGUGGGGCAGUGAGUGCACAAGGAGCAGGCAGAGAGUGUAGGGCGGUGGUGGAGUGUGUGGGGCUCCUGCCGUGGAGAGACUGGGUCCACUUCAGGAGGUUGGGGCAUGCACACGGGGCAGGACUGUGUGUGGACCUGUGGGCUGCAGGUCUUAAUCAGCUGCAGAAGACUGGUGCUUCUCAAAGAGCGACAACCUUCCAAAGCCUGAGACAAUGGGGUACUCCCGUGCCUGAUGCCAGCCCCACCCAGCUGCAAUCCUCAGAGAGGUGACAAGAGACCUAAAGGCUGGAGGCUUAUAGCAAUUGUAAGCCCCUGAGCCUAACAACCUGAAACACUGGGGGCAUACUCACUUAAAAGAAAUACUGCAACACAAGUGUGGUGUUAGAACUUGCAGCCAACGGUGCUGGGGCUCCCCACACCGGAUAAAGAGACUGAAGGGCCCCCAACAACUACAAGCAGCUGAGCAUUACAACAGCUGGCCAGGGGCAUAACUCAGCCUCCCUGGGCACCUACAGGGAGAGCAAACACACCACAACAGAAGGACACACUUAGCCCUCAUAGGGGUCACUCCUGGAACAUAGAGAACUGAGGGAAGCACAGUUCAGGCCUCCUAAGACAUCACUUAUAUAAUGUCACCUAUCCAAGAGCAGGAGACAUAGUUGACCUACCUAACACAUAGACACAAGCAGAGGGAAAGAGGCAAAAUGAGGAGGCAAAGGAAUGCAUUCCAAGUAAGGGAAGAGGACAAAACCCCAGAAAAGGACCUAAGUGAAACAGAAAUGAGCAACCUACCCGACAGAGAGUUAAAACAAAGAACAUUAAGGAUGCUCACUAAUCUGGGGAGAAGAAUAGAUGAACUCAGUGAGAAUGUCAACAAAGAAAUGGAAGAUAUAUAAAACAAUGAAUCAGAAAUGAAGAAUAAAAUACUGGAAAUGAAAAAUUCACUAGGGGGACUCAAAAGCAGAGUAGAGGAUACAGAAGAACGGAUCUGUGAGCUGGAUGAAUGAGUAGAAAAAAUCACCCAAGCUGAACAGGUAAAAGAAAAAAGAGUUAAAAAGAGUGAGGACAGUCUAAAGGACAUCUGGGACAACAUCAAGCACACUAACAUCCGUGUUAUAGGUGUCCCAGAAGGAGAAGAGUGAGACAAAGGGACAGAGAAUCUAUUUGAAGAAAUAAUCGCUGAAAACUUCCCUUACCUAAGGAAGGAAACAGACAUCCAUGUAAGGGAAGCACAGAGAGCCCCAAACAAGAUAAACCCAAAGAGGCCCACACCAAGACACAUCAUAAUCAAAA
Molecule: long non-coding RNA, 3506 nt
Organism: Diceros bicornis minor
Lineage: Eukaryota; Metazoa; Chordata; Mammalia; Perissodactyla; Rhinocerotidae
Exons: 4
Source: RefSeq, a predicted model, not a curated record